RNAcentral lists this ribosomal RNA (309 nucleotides) under uncultured soil bacterium. RNAcentral's name for it is "bacterial SSU rRNA". It matches the Rfam family "Bacterial small subunit ribosomal RNA", at positions 26 to 337 of the family's 1533-position model. The record is from RNAcentral.
AGAUUGAACGCUGGCGGCAGGCCUAACACAUGCAAGUCGAGCGGUAGAGAGGUGCUUGCAUCUCUUGAGAGCGGCGGACGGGUGAGUAAUGCCUAGGAAUCUGCCUAGUGGUGGGGGAUAACGUUCGGAAACGGACGCUAAUACCGCAUACGUCCUACGGGAGAAAGCGGGGGACCUUCGGGCCUCGCGCCAUUAGAUGAGCCCAGGUCGGAUUAGCUAGUUGGUGAGGUAAUGGCUCACCAAGGCGACGAUCCGUAACUGGUCUGAGAGGAUGAUCAGUCACACUGGAACUGAGACACGGUCCAGACU